This 63-nucleotide transfer RNA is filed under the name Prionopetalum kraepelini. RNAcentral describes it as "tRNA-Trp". The record is from RNAcentral. Lineage: Eukaryota; Metazoa; Arthropoda; Diplopoda; Spirostreptida; Odontopygidae.
AAAACUUUAAGUUAUAUAAACUAUUAACCUUCAAAGUUAACAUAAAAGAAUCUUUAAGUUUUA